This 92-nucleotide non-coding RNA is filed under the name Paraburkholderia bryophila. The record is from RNAcentral. Lineage: Bacteria; Pseudomonadati; Pseudomonadota; Betaproteobacteria; Burkholderiales; Burkholderiaceae.
UUCAAUGGGCGGGCCUGGGUGGGGAGACCUUCGGGUCUGCCGGGUGCUUACGUGACCGGUUCGCCAACCUCGCCUUGUGCCCGCUCACCCCA